CUGUUACUCUGUAGAGACUGACUGCAUGGCAGUGACUGUUACUCUGUAGAGACUGACUGCAUGGCAGUGACUGUUACUCUGUAGAGACUGACUGCAUGGCAGUGACUGUUACUCUGUAGAGACUGACUGCAUGGCAGUGACUGUUACUCUGUAGAGACUGACUGCAUAGUAGUGACUGUUACUCUGUAGAGACUGACUGCAUGGCAGUGACUGUUACUCUGUAGAGACUGACUGCAUGGCAGUGACUGUUACUCUGUAGAGACUGACUGCAUGGCAGUGACUGUUACUCUGUAGAGACUGACUGCAUGGCAGUGACUGUUACUCUGUAGAGACUGACUUAGUGACUGUUACUCUGUAGAGACUGACUGCAUGGCAGUGACUGUUACUCUGUAGAGGCUGACUGCAUGGCAGUGACUGCUACUCUGUAGAGACUGACUGCAUGGCAGUGACUGUGCCUAAUGGUGAGGCUCCACAGGGUGCUCCUUAUAAAGCUUUAAACAUGUACCUUUCAGAUGUGUUACUACAACAUUGUCCAGCUCCAGUUUGGCUCACUGUGAAAGGUAACUAACUAAAUGAACAAGGUCAACUGGAAACAUGCAUUCACUUUUUCUCCAGUGUGAUGCACAAAGGUCUUGUAGAAAGGCUCGGGCAGUGGGUUUGAGGUGUGUGUGCCCGUGUGUGAUAACAACUGAACUUAUGAAAGGUUGAACAUGUAUUAAGGGCUUCCUGUAUUGCAAACACGUGAAACACCUACAAAGCGCCUUAUUUCAUCGACUUUGUAUUUUCUUUUGAAUCUUAAACGUUGUGGCUUAUUACUUUCACCAACUACUUGAGUAUUUAACUGUUCUGAAAUAAAACAUGUUGCAUCAUGGGGAAUAUAUGACAUUGACCUCAACAUAUUCAACUGGAAUAGUUGUUAGAUGUUUUGUUGGAAUAACAGCUAAUAGUGUGGAGUUUGUAGUUAACAGACAGGUCAAGCAUAAGGAAGACUGGUUUGUCUAACUGUACAGGCAGACAUAAAGACAGGUUAGUGAGUUCAGGAUGAGUCUGUGUGGGUUUCUGGGAGAGGUGGAGGACAAUGCCUGCACAUUAAUACAAGUAGAAAUGUAUCAUUUUAAAUAUAUAACUAUAAAUAUUGUACAGAAUGUCAUUCAUUUUUAUAAUCUUGACUGUACAUGUAAUGCAACCACCUCUUUUUGAAAGGAGUCUGAUGUUUUGUACAUGUAUGUAAAUGAUGUUUUUAGUAGCACUUGUUUGCAGCCUUCUCAGUGUGUUCGUCAAGGUUCAUUUCCGCUCUUCGAUACGUGUCCACGGUGUAUUAUAUGUAAUGGCUUGAUGAAUUCACAAUUGCCUGCAUAACUUUGUACAUGUUUGUGUGUCUCAUCACAGCAUAUUGUUUGUUCUGCGUUUGGUUCAGCAGUUGUUCAGAUGUUACACAUCACUGCAGCUACAUUACAGCAGGAGAAUAAAGCACUUGUUCUGUAACAUUA
Long non-coding RNA from Oncorhynchus keta (chum salmon), 1490 nucleotides. RefSeq lists it as uncharacterized. The transcript has 2 exons. The record is from RefSeq and is a predicted model, not a curated record. NCBI's taxonomy places the organism in Eukaryota, Metazoa, Chordata, Actinopteri, Salmoniformes, Salmonidae.